Molecule: long non-coding RNA, 683 nt
Organism: Juglans microcarpa x Juglans regia
Lineage: Eukaryota; Viridiplantae; Streptophyta; Magnoliopsida; Fagales; Juglandaceae
Exons: 3
Source: RefSeq, a predicted model, not a curated record
CGCAUCCUCUCCCCCACCCAUACCCCUGUAGGCCAAAUGAGAGGCAUGGCUGAGCAUGGAGGGCUGAGGGAGGUGCGAUGGAGCUGCUGGUGGCUGAGGGAGGCUCGAGGUGGCGGCUGGAUCCGUGGGUGGCGGCGUACGGCUAGGUGAACCGGUUCCUAGCCUCAAAACCUCCUCAGGUAUGCCUCGCUUGUUCCCACCCAAAGCCCCCUCAGACCCCCCUAGCAAAAUCUCCUUCCCUCCUGAAGCCCCUCGUUCAGGUGCGAUGCAGAAAUCUCCUUCAUCUCCCCCUUCCCUUCAUCCUCAUCGGUUCUUCAUCUCCCCCAUCCUUCAUCCUCAUGAAGUUUGCACCUCAAAGUGACCUGCAAGCCCUCAGACCCGUGCUUCAUCUCCAGAAAUCCAACACACCAUGAUUUGAAAAAAAAAACCCAAUAAUCCGCGGCGAAACAGGGUUACACCGUACAUUUUUGCUUCUCUGCGAUUUCGACGCUGGGCCUCUUUAGAUCUGAUGCAGAUCAAACAAAUUGGAAUGGGACAGUUGCACUGGUCAACUACAAAGUAUGCUCAUUUGCAUGAUUGGACAGUUGCACCGGAAUCAAGCAAUAUGAAAGAUAAAGAAACUCAAGACGAAGUUGGAUUGGAUAUUAUUUUGUUGUGAUUUGUGUUGUAAUUAUUUUAUAUUC